This is an RNA transcript of Anastrepha ludens (Mexican fruit fly), 2327 nucleotides long. It is a transcript of the gene named thyroid receptor-interacting protein 6-like, with no coding region annotated. NCBI's taxonomy places the organism in Eukaryota, Metazoa, Arthropoda, Insecta, Diptera, Tephritidae. The record is from RefSeq and is a predicted model, not a curated record. The transcript is spliced from 3 exons.
AAGAAAAUCAUGCUCUGCAUUUGGUGGGAUCAGGUCGGCGUCGUAUAUUUUGAGCUGCUCCAACCGGGCGAAACAAUCACGGGGGAUCGUUACCGACUGCAAUUGAUGCGUUUAAGCCGGGCAUUGAAAGAAAAACGGCCGGAAACGGUAAAAAGGCACGACAAGGUUAUUUUGCAACAUGACAACGCUCGGCCGCAUGUUGCUCAACCUGUCAAAAAAUACCUUGGAACGCUUGGCUGGGAAGUGUUACCCCUUCCGCCGUAUAGUCCAGACAUAGCUCCCUCCAAUUAUCAUUUGUUCCGGCAUAUGAGUCUCGAUUUGGCGGACCAGCGGUUCUCCUCGUACGAGGCUACCAAAACAUGGGUUGAGUCAUGGAUAGCCAAGCAGCGGCCAGAAUUUUGGAGAAACGGCAUCCGGAAAUUGCCCGAAAAAUGGGCGAAAGUUGUAGCUAGCGAUGGCCAAUACUUCGAAUAAAAUAUUUUGUACCGUUUUUUCACAAUAAAGCCCCAAAUCUUCGAAAAAAAACCUUUAAAACUAAUUCAACCUCCAAUAAUUUUAGUAAGUUUUCCAAAAUGAUGUCCCACAUUUUAAAACUAAAAACAUUAACACUAAUAGUUAUUAAAUAAUGAACAAAUAAUAAUAUGAUCGAUACGUAUAAUAAAUGAAACGCAUGCCAUAUUUGAAAUGGCAUAUAAUCGCGAUUAAUUAUGUUGAUGAAAGACCGCAUACGAAGAUUUUUCGCACUAGCGCUUAUGGGAAUUUUCUGCUUACCGACGUCCAAGGCAUAUUGACGUAUUGGCAUAUUACAUAUAUACAUAAGUAAUACAGACGAUUGUAUUCACUUUUUUUAGAUAAAGAGGCAUAACUUCAUUUAAUACACCACAUAUUAUUUUUAUUGCCAAAAUAGCAACACAGAAAUACCCUUCAUGCGCAACGAAACUAAUCAGUUAUUCCUAAGCACAUUGACACUACUAAAAAAUAGUACGAUUUAAUUGAUCUUGCGCAGGCGAAGCGGGACGCAAUUAACAAAAAAAAAGCAAACAUAACGGUACUUUUCCUGUUAAAGAAGAUAGUCAUUACAAAAAACUUCUUGGCUAGUUAGAAAUGUGUACUGAGAGAUAAUUUAUGGGAAAAUCGAUAUACUGCUAGCACGUGAAAAGAGCUGGCAAAAAUUACACCUCAUUCAUACAGGGCAAUUUAUAUGUAUUACGCUUCAACAAGUUGGGGACGAGUUGAGAAUCAUAAAUUGGAAAAAAAUUAUUGAAAAUAAAAUAUUAUGGUAAACUCAUGGACAAAGAAAUAUUUGAAUAGUUAUUAUAAGUUUUCGCCAAAACCCAGCGGAAUUUGCUGCAACAAGUAAAGCAAGUUCUAUCUUCAAAAGCAGCAACAACAACUUACAAUAUUAUGUUACUGCUAUUCGAGAAUUUCGACAAAAAUAAGGAAACUAAAUAUAUAGUCAAGUGUGUGGAAAUGAAAAGAAUAUUUGCAAAUAAAACAUUAUGAGAUCUGCUCAUAAAAUCUGUCUACUCAUUAUUAGUGUCAUAGAUUGUUCGUAAAAACCCAGCAGAGCUCAAUAUGAAGAGUUGGUAGCAAAACUAAAAAAGCAUGUGUAUUCUAAGAAAGACAUUUUUCUAGCUCAAUUCAUUAGAAGAACCCAAGAUAACACAAUCCGCGAACAGCUCAUUCUGGCAGAAUAUUUAAGAAAAUUGUUUGGGAAAAACACUAUCUUUAGAAGCAUUCAACAUAUGUACAUAGAUAGCCGUGAACUCAAUGCAAAAUUACAAAGUGCUAUAAAUGAUGUCAACAAAAUACUCGCAGGUAUAAAUCGUAGUAGAAGGCCGCGGAUACAUUCAAUAAUAAUCAAAAUUAAACUUGAGGCAAAUAGGUAUCGGAAACUUAUGCAUACGAAGCGGAAGAGAGAAUCACAAAACAAAGGAAUGUCACGUAAAGCGGCAUAACCUCAUAUAAAAUUCGCGCCACGCUGCUGCGUAUGUUUGGAACCAAUAAUGCCAGAAACCGGUGAAGAAGAAACUGUACGUGUCGUAGCGUUAGAUCGCAGUUUUCACUUCGGAUGUUAUAAAUGUGAAGACUGUGGUUUGUUGUUAUCGUCAGAAGCCGAGGGUCGUGGAUGCUAUCCUCUGGACGGACAUGUACUCUGUAAAAGUUGUAAUGCAAAACGUGUGCAAAUGCUAACAAGUCGCAUGGCAACAGAGUUAUAAACAAACUUAUUACUGUGACAUAUUAUGAAUAUUAUGUAUAAUUUCUACACUCGUAUGUAAAAUUAAAAUAAAUAAAAGUUCGUUUGGUUUGCUGACUUUUUAAAACCA